This 429-nucleotide ribosomal RNA is filed under the name Gemmatimonadota bacterium. RNAcentral's name for it is "Gemmatimonadetes bacterium partial 16S ribosomal RNA". It matches the Rfam family "Bacterial small subunit ribosomal RNA", at positions 355 to 776 of the family's 1533-position model. The record is from RNAcentral. Lineage: Bacteria; Pseudomonadati; Gemmatimonadota.
UAGGGAAUCUUCGGCAAUGGACGAAAGUCUGUCCGAGCAACGCCGCGUGAGUGAAGAAGGUUUUCGGAUCGUAAAACUCUGUUGUUAGAGAAGAACAAGGACGUUAGUAACUGAACGUCCCCUGACGGUAUCUAACCAGAAAGCCACGGCUAAUUACGUGCCAGCAGCCGCGGUAAUACGUAGGUGGCAAGCGUUGUCCGGAUUUAUUGGGCGUAAAGCGAGCGCAGGCGGUUUCUUAAGUCUGAUGUGAAAGCCCCCGGCUCAACCGGGGAGGGUCAUUGGAAACUGGGAGACUUGAGUGCAGAAGAGGAGAGUGGAAUUCCAUGUGUAGCGGUGAAAUGCGUAGAUAUAUGGAGGAACACCAGUGGCGAAGGCGGCUCUCUGGUCUGUAACUGACGCUGAGGCUCGAAAGCGUGGGGAGCAAACAGG